UAUGAUCUGAAGUCAGGU
This 18-nucleotide ribosomal RNA is filed under the name Rhizopus arrhizus. RNAcentral describes it as "Rhizopus oryzae partial 28S large subunit ribosomal RNA". The record is from RNAcentral. Lineage: Eukaryota; Fungi; Mucoromycota; Mucoromycetes; Mucorales; Rhizopodaceae.